Molecule: unclassified non-coding RNA, 220 nt
Filed under: Hevea brasiliensis (rubber tree)
Lineage: Eukaryota; Viridiplantae; Streptophyta; Magnoliopsida; Malpighiales; Euphorbiaceae
Source: RNAcentral
ACUUUCAUCAUCAAUGCAAUAUCUCCCCACAAAAAAAAAUUCAAGCCGAAUAAAUUUUAGCCUGAGCACAUAAACCCUUAAUAACCAAUUUAUUCAAAUCCCUGAAGGCUGAAGCUGCACCUCUACUAAGCCCUAGCUGAGCCUGAAUAUGAUACUAACAUUAGAAAGAUCAAAGGGCUAAACCUUAAGGAAGAGAUAACAAAACACAAUAAGAUUUUCA